UACGAAGGGGGCUAGCGUUGCUCGGAAUCACUGGGCGUAAAGGGUGCGUAGGCGGGUCUUUAAGUCAGGGGUGAAAUCCUGGAGCUCAACUCCAGAACUGCCUUUGAUACUGGAGAUCUUGAGACCGGAAGAGGUAAGUGGAACUGCGAGUGUAGAGGUGAAAUUCGUAGAUAUUCGCAAGAACACCAGUGGCGAAGGCGGCUUACUGGUCCGGUUCUGACGCUGAGGCGCGAAAGCGUGGGGAGCAAACAGG
This 253-nucleotide ribosomal RNA is filed under the name uncultured bacterium. Its description in RNAcentral is "partial 16S ribosomal RNA". It matches the Rfam family "Bacterial small subunit ribosomal RNA", at positions 524 to 776 of the family's 1533-position model. The record is from RNAcentral.